AUCUAGCUGACGAGUCCCAAGCGGGACAAAGCACGCGUCCUGGAU
RNAcentral lists this non-coding RNA (45 nucleotides) under Schistosoma haematobium. RNAcentral also lists the same sequence under 2 other names. The record is from RNAcentral. Lineage: Eukaryota; Metazoa; Platyhelminthes; Trematoda; Strigeidida; Schistosomatidae.